AUACGUAGGUGGCAAGCGUUGUCCGGAAUUAUUGGGCGUAAAGCGCGCGCAGGUGGUUCCUUAAGUCUGAUGUGAAAGCCCCCGGCUCAACCGGGGAGGGUCAUUGGAAACUGGGGAACUUGAGUGCAGAAGAGGAUAGUGGAAUUCCAAGUAUAGCGGUGAAAUGGGUAGAGAUUUGGAGGAACACCAGUGGCGAAGGCGACUUUGUGGUCUGUAACGGACACUGAGGCGCGAAGCCUUGGGGAGCAACCAGGAUUAGAGACCCUGGUAGUCCACGCCGUAAACGAUGAGUGCUAAGUGUUGGGGGGUUCCCGCCCCUCAGUGCUGCAGCUAACGCAUUAAGCACUCCGCCUGGGGAGUACGGUCGCAAGACUGAAACUCAAAGGAAUUGACGGGG
Molecule: ribosomal RNA, 397 nt
Filed under: uncultured bacterium
Lineage: Bacteria
Description: partial 16S ribosomal RNA
Rfam family: Bacterial small subunit ribosomal RNA
Source: RNAcentral